GAAUGUGAGGGAGAUCUGGCUGCUACAUCUGUCACCCCAUUGAUCACUGGGGUUGAUUUUGCUGAUCUGGCUGGCCAGGCCGGUGUCCCCUUCCUCCCUCAACCUUCCACGUGCAUCCCUCCAGAAGCUACUAGCUGGGUGGGAGAGGACGACCUUCCCCUAUAGAGGAGGACCAGUCUUCGGUCAAGGGUAUACAAGUAGAUGCGCUCCCCUGCUAGAACCUCCAAACAAGCUCUCAAGAUCACAUUCUUAAUCACUAAGGAUUUGGGCUUGAGUAUCUUAUUAGUCAACGAAUAGCACAUGCUCUUAAAAGAUAUGUUAAGUACUUUUGAUUCUUUCUAA
Molecule: small nuclear RNA, 342 nt
Filed under: Nannospalax galili (Upper Galilee mountains blind mole rat)
Lineage: Eukaryota; Metazoa; Chordata; Mammalia; Rodentia; Spalacidae
Description: 7SK RNA (ENSNGAG00000004447.1)
Rfam family: 7SK RNA
About the family: 7SK was discovered as an abundant small nuclear RNA in the mid-70s but a possible function has only recently been suggested.
Source: Rfam by way of RNAcentral